AUGAAAUUGUAUGUUUAAUCAAUAUCAUGCAACCGUUUAUUUUAAGCUGUAGAAGCUGAAAUGUAAAAUCAAGGUAACGUUCUUCAAGGUCAACCACAGCUUUGAAGAAGGCCUUUGCACCCGAAGCAGCAGACCUGGACCGACGGGCAAACAAAGACGCUCCGAUGGCGAGGGACCACAGAUGGGACACGUGAGGGGAGUGACUUGUUUAGUUGACGCCCGUCCAGAUGUGAUGUGAGGAAACCAUCAGCCACCUUUGUGCCUUUGCACCGCUGCAAGAUUUGAACCAGCUUUGUUUACCACCGUGCAACAAAGUCACCGGGAGACUCGGAACCGCUGAACGUUGUUGUCAGUCAUUUUUCUCAACUGAAGUAUAUUCAGCCACUGCGGUUAUUAUUGUACGGUCGCUAGAAAGUGAAACUCCAUGGACAGUUCAC
This is a long non-coding RNA of Gasterosteus aculeatus aculeatus (three-spined stickleback), 437 nucleotides long. The record is from Ensembl. Lineage: Eukaryota; Metazoa; Chordata; Actinopteri; Perciformes; Gasterosteidae.